GAUGAACGCUGGCGGCGUGCCUAAUACAUGCAAGUCGAGCGAACGGACGCGACGCUUGCUUCUCUGUUGUUAGCGGAGGACGGGUGUGUAACAUGUGGAUAAUCUACCUAUCAGACUGGGAUCACUUCGGAAAACCGGAGCUUAUACCGGAUAAUCUUUUGCACCGUAUGGUUCAAAAGUGAAAUACGGUGUUGGUGUCACUACUCGAUGGUUCCGAGCUGGAUUAGCUAGUUGGUAAGGUCAAGGCGUUCCACGGCAACGAUGCCUGGCCGACCUGCGAGAGUGGUAGGCCACACGAGAAGUGGGACACGGUCCAGGCGCCUACGAGAGGCAGCAGUAGGGAAUCUUCCGCAGUAGGCGAAAGCCUUACGGAGCAACGCGGCGUGUGUGAUGAAGGUCUUCGGAUCGUAAAACUCUGUUAUGAGGGAAGAACAUAUGUGUAAGUAGCUGUGCACAUCGUGACGGUACCGAGUCAGAAAGCAACGGCUAACUACGUG
Molecule: ribosomal RNA, 497 nt
Filed under: uncultured bacterium
Lineage: Bacteria
Description: partial 16S ribosomal RNA
Rfam family: Bacterial small subunit ribosomal RNA
Source: RNAcentral